CUGGCCCAGGGAAGCAGCUCCUCACCACUGUAACUUCUGGUUUGUAGCUGUGUAAACCGAGACAGGAUAUAGAUACAUCCUGUCUGAGUUAACAGCAAGAAAUAGGGCCUCACAGUGGGGUUCCUGCCAUAAAUCAGAACCCAUCUGAGAGUAAUCUAGAAUGGUAUGCAAGUCAGGGCUGCAUCCCCAUCAGCCCCGGAGGGAGGGAAGUGUCUGAAACAGGAACCCUGGAGAACUUUGAAGAGUGGGGGUGGAGUGAGCUGUCCUCUUCAGGCACUGAGGUUGCAGCCUGCACUUUCUCAGUGACUGUGCUGAAGUGAUCACAGUGGCUUCAGUCUUCUGUCUCCUUGACCCAGGCCCUGCACCCAGAAGUCACUCUGCACAGAACUCCCGGCUUGGUCAGAUCCAGAUGUCCCGCUGUCCUUAGUCACAUACUACACCAGAAGACACAUUUUCUUAUGGUCUCAAAUUUUGGCUGGACCUCAGGAACAUGCAACAAGCCUGUAAAAAUGUCUAUCUCAGUGAGCCCAGAGUCUGUUGGAGAAAUGACACAUAAGCACAUUGUCUUCAAAACAGGGACUAAGCUCAGGACCAUGUCCAGCUCCAAGAGGCUGCUUUACCAGAGACCACUUCCAGAAGACAGUGUUAGGAGUGCCCUUCUGCCAUAAAGAAGGUUAAACUUGAAUCAUUUGUAGGAAAAUGGAUGCACCUUGAGACCACAAUGUUAAGUGAGAUAAAUUAUACACACAAAUUUACAUAUCACAUGGUUUUGCUUAUAUGUGAAGCUUAAAAUAUAAAGAGCAAAAUAAAAGAUAGAUAGUAGGAAGUAGGGAGAUAGAUCUUUCUUGAAUGGGAAGGGGAUCAAGAGAUGCAGGAAGGGGUAGGAAUGGAAGGGAAAGGGUAUUGAAAAAGAAUUAAUUUGUGUUAGGUGCAUGUACCAACGCCACACAAGGAAUACAAACAUGUACUACAAACAUGUACUAAUAAAAAUAAAAGCUAUAAAGGACAUUUAUAUAUUAAUUAUUUUGCUAUUUCUAACAUAAUCUGGGCAUUAGGACUUAUACUUUAGGGCUGGG
Long non-coding RNA from Heterocephalus glaber (naked mole-rat), 1076 nucleotides. Lineage: Eukaryota; Metazoa; Chordata; Mammalia; Rodentia; Bathyergidae. The record is from Ensembl.